CAUCUCCUCCUGUUGUUCAUGGAAUCCUUCAUCUGCUUCAGAAUGCUCUGGGUUUUCCUCCUCCACAUCGGCAUCAUCAGCGAGUAUCCGGACGGCCUCUCUGUAGUCAGUCACACCUUCUCCUGUUUGGGAGUAGAGGUGGCUUGUAGUCGUCAAAGAUUCCUCUGCCCAAGACCUCAUUUGCCAACUUGUUAACAGAGUUCUUAAGCGGUCCACUGUAUGUCAUUGGGGCGUCUUCUUUGACAUCAACUACUGCUGAACUCUUCCGGUCAGAAUUCCAUCUGAACAGACCAUCCAAUAGGAAUACCUGGAAAUUGAUGUCCUUUGCCAGGGUUCCUAUAAAAAUAUUUGAAUAAUUAAAUAAAUUUCAUUGACAAUUAUAGGUGUUUGAUCUUUAUAACAUUGAAUAAAAAAAAAUGUUCAUAUUAAUGAAAA
This is a long non-coding RNA of Magallana angulata, 435 nucleotides long. RefSeq lists it as uncharacterized. The record is from RefSeq and is a predicted model, not a curated record. NCBI's taxonomy places the organism in Eukaryota, Metazoa, Mollusca, Bivalvia, Ostreida, Ostreidae. The transcript has 2 exons.